This 253-nucleotide ribosomal RNA is filed under the name uncultured bacterium. RNAcentral describes it as "partial 16S ribosomal RNA". It matches the Rfam family "Bacterial small subunit ribosomal RNA", at positions 524 to 776 of the family's 1533-position model. The record is from RNAcentral.
UACAGAGGUCUCAAGCGUUGUUCGGAUUCAUUGGGCGUAAAGGGUGCGUAGGCGGCGCGGUAAGUCGGGUGUGAAAUUUCGGAGCUUAACUCCGAAACUGCAUUCGAUACUGCGGUGCUUGAGGACUGGAGAGGAGACUGGAAUUCAUGGUGUAGCAGUGAAAUGCGUAGAGAUCAUGAGGAAGACCAGUGGCGAAGGCGGGUCUCUGGACAGUUCCUGACGCUGAGGCACGAAGGUCAGGGGAGCAAACGGG